Non-coding RNA from Esox lucius (northern pike), 455 nucleotides. The record is from the annotation of a RefSeq genome assembly. NCBI's taxonomy places the organism in Eukaryota, Metazoa, Chordata, Actinopteri, Esociformes, Esocidae.
UUUUGAAACUCAGUCUAAAGACAUUCAGCUUGUCUAAUGAGCAGGAGGUUUUUGUAUGAGCAGUAAUAGGGAUUGUAUCACUGUGGUACACUUUUGGUGGCGGCACCAGACUUGAUGUUGGAAGUAACACUGCUCCCACCCUGACCAUCCUGCCCCCCUCUAGUGAGGAGCUGUCCAGUACAACAACAGCCACACUGAUGUGUCUGGCCAACAAGGGCUUCCCCUCAGACUGGACCUUGAGUUGGAUAGUGGACGGGAACAACAAGAAUCAGAAGUCCAGUUCCAAGGUCCUGGAGAAGGAUGGUCUGUACAGCUGGAGCAGCACCCUGACUCUCACUGCCCAGGAGUGGAACAAGGUGGGAGAGGUGACCUGUGAAGCCCAGAAGAGCUCCCAGACUCCAGUCACCAAGACCCUGAGGAGGGAUGACUGUUCUGGUUAGGACCUGUCUGUCACA